UGUUUGCAGAUAAUGCUGUUCUUCUUUUUCAGAAGUUUUUGGUGAGCCAACCCUCACACACCUUCCUAAAAACUAAAAGAGCUAUUACUGAGUCUCAGCGAAUCUUGCUAUGAUCAGCUCUUCCCAGAAGAGAAGGAAGACCAAGGAAAUGAUUUGCUCAGGAUGAGGAAUGAAGACAGCCAUCUUGUGCUCAAACAAACAGAAGUCCACUGGUAUAUCUCAUCAGCCAAAUGAGGGGUUUUGACCAAGUGAUGCUCUUGAAAGGAGUGAAAGAAGAGGAUGUGGUAAAUUGUCUUUAGAGAAAAAGCUUCUCAAAAGGUCUUAAAACAGCUUGAAG
Long non-coding RNA from Carassius carassius (crucian carp), 337 nucleotides. RefSeq lists it as uncharacterized. The record is from RefSeq and is a predicted model, not a curated record. The transcript is spliced from 3 exons. Lineage: Eukaryota; Metazoa; Chordata; Actinopteri; Cypriniformes; Cyprinidae.